GACGAACGCUGGCGGCGUGCUUAACACAUGCCAGUCGAACGGAAAGGCCCUGCUUUUGUGGGGUGCUCGAGUGGCGAACGGGUGAGUAACACGUGAGUAACCUGCCCUUGACUUUGGGAUAACUUCAGGAAACUGGGGCUAAUACCGGAUAGGAGCUCCUGCUGCAUGGUGGGGGUUGGAAAGUUUCGGCGGUUGGGGAUGGACUCGCGGCUUAUCAGCUUGUUGGUGGGGUAGUGGCUUACCAAGGCUUUGACGGGUAGCCGGCCUGAGAGGGUGACCGGCCACAUUGGGACUGGGAUACGGCCCAGACUCCUACGGGAGGCAGCGGUGGGGAAUAUUGCACAAUGGGCGGAAGCCUGAUGCAGCAACGCCGCGUGCGGGAUGACGGCCUUCGGGUUGUAAACCGCUUUCGCCUGUGACGAAGCGUGAGUGACGGUAAUGGGUAAAGAAGCACCGGCUAACUACGU
This 467-nucleotide ribosomal RNA is filed under the name uncultured bacterium. RNAcentral describes it as "partial 16S ribosomal RNA". It matches the Rfam family "Bacterial small subunit ribosomal RNA", at positions 28 to 506 of the family's 1533-position model. The record is from RNAcentral.